UGCUCUGGGAGUUUCUCUACAAGAUGCCUU
Molecule: non-coding RNA, 30 nt
Filed under: Rattus norvegicus (Norway rat)
Lineage: Eukaryota; Metazoa; Chordata; Mammalia; Rodentia; Muridae
Source: RNAcentral